Molecule: ribosomal RNA, 543 nt
Filed under: uncultured Ascomycota
Lineage: Eukaryota; Fungi; Ascomycota
Description: SSU rRNA
Rfam family: Eukaryotic small subunit ribosomal RNA
Source: RNAcentral
UGGAGGGCAAGUCUGGUGCCAGCAGCCGCGGUAAUUCCAGCUCCAAUAGCGUAUAUUAAAGUUGUUGUGGUUAAAAAGCUCGUAGUUGAACCUUGGGCCUGGCUGGCCGGUCCGCCUCACCGCGUGUACUGGUCCGGCCGGGCCUUUCCCUCUGUGGAACCCCAUGCCCUUCACUGGGUGUGGUGGGGAAACAGGACUUUUACUGUGAAAAAAUUAGAGUGCUCCAGGCAGGCCUAUGCUCGAAUACAUUAGCAUGGAAUAAUAGAAUAGGACGUGUGGUUCUAUUUUGUUGGUUUCUAGGACCGCCGUAAUGAUUAAUAGGGACAGUCGGGGGCAUCAGUAUUCAAUUGUCAGAGGUGAAAUUCUUGGAUUUAUUGAAGACUAACUACUGCGAAAGCAUUUGCCAAGGAUGUUUUCAUCAAUCAGGAACGAAAGUUAGGGGAUCGAAGACGAUCAGAUACCGUCGUAGUCUUAACCAUAAACUAUGCCGACUAGGGAUCGGACGGUGUUAUUUUUUGACCCGUUCGGCACCUUACGGGAAAC